UUCCCUGGAAGCCCACAGAUCAGCUUCCACAUGUGUUUGUAAAACGCACAUUUCUGGCUUCUGCUUAUGAGUUAUUAAGCAACUCAGCUGUGGGCCUCAGGAACCUGCAAAGUCCAGAAGCUCAAAAUGGAGCCCCAAUUAUUCCAUGUGUGAGGGAAACACUGUGUCCCUAGACCGCUGUCCUCAGCAGUCUGACUGUGCUCUCAGCCUCCCUACCCCACCUCCCUCCAGAGCAGUGGCUCCUUCUUUCCCUCCAGGCUAUCAGCAGUGGAGCCUGGCAGACAGCACUUGAAAAUCAGCCAGCAAGGAGAGCACAGGAGUUCAUUUACAGACCUGGCACUAACUGUGUGUCCUUACAGAUCAGUGCAUUGGGAUGGGUGUUUAAGGAGAUAUUUACAGACGUGUUUUAUUCUGUGAAGGUGAAGCUUCUUUGCCUCUGUUCCAGGAACUCUUCUAAUCAGCUAUAUCAUGCUGAAAACAAUUUUGCCUCAGAGUAAACUCCCCAAAGCCAGGCAUGAAUACCUGCAGUGUGCUUGCCUGUGGGCUGGGGAGCAGCCCUCUCCCAGGACGCAGCCAGAGGCGGCCG
Molecule: long non-coding RNA, 586 nt
Filed under: Rattus norvegicus (Norway rat)
Lineage: Eukaryota; Metazoa; Chordata; Mammalia; Rodentia; Muridae
Description: long non-coding RNA NONRATT030114
Source: RNAcentral